UGCAGGGAGAAUUGGUAUUCCAUCCGGUCUCAUAAGCCGGACUCCGAGGGUUCGACUCCCUCCUCUGCAA
RNAcentral lists this transfer RNA (70 nucleotides) under Bacillus phage vB_BsuM-Goe3. It matches the Rfam family "tRNA". From Rfam's summary of the family: Transfer RNA (tRNA) molecules are approximately 80 nucleotides in length. Their secondary structure includes four short double-helical elements and three loops (D, anti-codon, and T loops). The record is from Rfam by way of RNAcentral. RNAcentral also lists the same sequence under 6 other names. Lineage: Duplodnaviria; Heunggongvirae; Uroviricota; Caudoviricetes; Herelleviridae.